GAUGAAGAACGUAGCGAAAUGCGAUAAGUAAUGUGAAUUGCAGAGUUUAGUGAAUCAUCGAAUCUUUGAACGCACAUUGCGCCCCUCGGUAUUCCGACGGGCAUGCCUGUUCGAGCGUCGUUCGCACACCCUCAAGCAGAAUUCAUGUCGGCUUGUCUUGGGCCUCCGUCCCCCACCGCCGCCCGCGAGGGCGGGGAGGGACGGGCCCCGAAGCGAGCGGCGGCCUCGGAUGCACCGCCGGAGCGUCCUCGUGAUAACUCGCUCCGGCGCCGUGCGUUCGCGGCCCGCCUGGACGACGAAACCCCCCCGCCCGCAAACGGCGGGAACACCAACAAAGUUCCGACCUCGGAUCAGGCAGGGAUACCCGCUGAACUUAAGCAUAUCAAUAAGCGGAGGA
Molecule: unclassified non-coding RNA, 397 nt
Filed under: soil metagenome
Description: partial contains 5.8S ribosomal RNA, internal transcribed spacer 2, and large subunit ribosomal RNA
Rfam family: 5.8S ribosomal RNA (bases 1-120)
Source: RNAcentral